GCGGCCCCAAGUCAGGCGAGGCCACCGCCGAG
This 32-nucleotide ribosomal RNA is filed under the name Siphonochilus aethiopicus. RNAcentral describes it as "partial 26S ribosomal RNA". Lineage: Eukaryota; Viridiplantae; Streptophyta; Magnoliopsida; Zingiberales; Zingiberaceae. The record is from RNAcentral.